AGCAUGAUUAAUCACUGCCAUUUGAAUUUUAAUAUUUAUUUUGUUUUAUCAGGAUAAUUUCUAGAAGUGCGUGUCUACUCUUCAUGGAGGACACAGGCUUCUGCAUGGAGUUUUAAAAUAUGUUGUGAUCAUCUAAUUGUGACCUGAGCUGCUGGGCUGCAUCGCAAAGGAAUGUUCACCUUUGUCUUCAUAUGUCAAUGAGCUGUGGGACAGUUGAGCAUACUGAAAAGCUAUCCCUGUACAAGGCCGGAUCCACACUGAUGCUUUGCCCCUUCUUGCCAAGGGACCACAUUGUUAGAAACAUUGGUUUGGGGUGUAUUUAUAACCAUAACACGGUGUGAGAUUUUUGUCGUGGUAUCUGAAGAUCUUGAAUGUGUGGUGCUUGCUGUGUUGCAUGCUUCUUCUGGUGCUGGGUUGCUGUCUCCUGUUUCUUCUUGUCUCACCAGGGUCCUCCUGAGCAGGGGUUUCGCAUUGGCUGAUCCAACCUUCCUAGACUGAGGAGAAUCCACCAAUUGUAUAGCAGUAUUUAAGAUCCAUUUUAAUAACUU
This is a long non-coding RNA of Carassius carassius (crucian carp), 548 nucleotides long. RefSeq lists it as uncharacterized. The transcript has 3 exons. The record is from RefSeq and is a predicted model, not a curated record. NCBI's taxonomy places the organism in Eukaryota, Metazoa, Chordata, Actinopteri, Cypriniformes, Cyprinidae.